Oryctolagus cuniculus (rabbit) is the source of this 1126-nucleotide non-coding RNA. Lineage: Eukaryota; Metazoa; Chordata; Mammalia; Lagomorpha; Leporidae. The record is from RefSeq and is a predicted model, not a curated record.
GGCUGCCUGCCUGUCCCGUUAUAGACUAGUAUUUUGAUCCCCUUUACAGCCGAGGUCUGAAAUAGCCCCCCGACGGGUGCGGCAGCUGCCGCCGAGUUGGGGAAACUUGGGACUUGCAGUGGGUUGGGGAGGGGGCGCUUUGCUCUCUGCUCCGCGCUGAGGGCCCCGCCUUCGCUGCCCGAGCAGGCACCCUCGUGGAAGUCCGUGCCACCUGCGUGGGGGGCCAAGUGCCGGCUGCCGGAGGAGCACAGGCCGUCCCUGGACGCUGGGAAUGCCAAUCCAGACCAGAGAGGAAGCACGCAACCGGAGGGGUGGAAUCUGCUACCGGAACUGAAGAGAGGUGCUCACCCGUGGUCCAGCAGCUGAACUACAAGUGCCAUACCCUGGAUAAGGACUCUCAGGGGCUCUCAGCUCCCAGCUGGCCCAGUAAUGAAAACCCCAGCUCUGGCCAGUGCUGCCUGCAGCACCAGCAUCCCAUCUGGCACCAGUUCCUCUCCUGGCUGCUCGCCUCCGUAUCUAGCUCUCUGCUUAUGGCCUGGGAAAGUGGUGGAAGAUGGUCCAAGUACUUGGGCCCCAGCACCCAUGUGGGAGACCUGGAAGAAGCUCCUGGCUUUGGAUCGGCCCAGCUCUGGCUGUUCCAGCCAUUUGGGGGGUGAACCAGUGGAUGAAAGAUCUCUUUCCCUCUCCUCUCUGUCUGUAACUCUGCUUCUCAAAUAAAUAAAUAAAUAAAUCCCAGUUCUCUGCACAGACCCUCCCCCAGUUUCUCUGGGACGCCCCUGUAGGCUGGAGUUGGUUCCUGGGUGACCCCACUGCAGAUGGCACUGUUCUUGCUGACCCAAGCAACUUAAUUCAAUCAAGGUCGGAAGACCUGGGGACUGCUUCCACACAGCCCAUCACCAUGAUGGCAAGACCCCUGAUUUCACAGAGAGGAAGGGUGCAGUCAGUCCUCAGUGUGACUCCCAGGUAGGGCCCCCCACGGCCUGUAACAAAUGACCACAAAUUCGUGUACUCAGAACAAUGUCAGAUUGUCUUACAGUUCCAGACUCCGCAGUUUGAAACAAGUGCAGCAGGGUUAAAAUUCAAGGUCUAGGCAGGUCUGGUUGCUCCCAGAGGCUGCAGAGGAACA